CAGUAGCCACGGUAAUACGUAGGGCGCAAGCGUUGUCCGGAAUUAUUGGGCGUAAAGAGCUCGUAGGCGGUCUGUCGCGUCUGGUGUGAAAUCCCGAGGCUCAACCUCGGGCUUGCAUCGGGUACGGGCAGACUAGAGUGCGGUAGGGGAGACUGGAAUUCCUGGUGUAGCGGUGGAAUGCGCAGAUAUCAGGAGGAACACCGAUGGCGAAGGCAGGUCUCUGGGCCGCAACUGACGCUGAGGAGCGAAAGCAUGGGGAGCGAACAGGAUUAGAUACCCGGGUAGUCCCUGUCUCUUAUAC
This 301-nucleotide ribosomal RNA is filed under the name uncultured bacterium. RNAcentral's name for it is "partial 16S ribosomal RNA". It matches the Rfam family "Bacterial small subunit ribosomal RNA", at positions 509 to 807 of the family's 1533-position model. The record is from RNAcentral.